RNAcentral lists this ribosomal RNA (253 nucleotides) under uncultured bacterium. RNAcentral's name for it is "partial 16S ribosomal RNA". It matches the Rfam family "Bacterial small subunit ribosomal RNA", at positions 524 to 776 of the family's 1533-position model. The record is from RNAcentral.
UACGUAGGGGGCAAGCGUUGUCCGGAAUCAUUGGGCGUAAAGCGCGUGUAGGCGGCUUGGUAAGUCCGCUCUGAAAGCCCGGGGCUCAACCCCGGGAGGCGGGUGGAUACUGUCAAGCUCGAGUCCGGAAGAGGCGAGUGGAAUUCCCGGUGUAGCGGUGAAAUGCGCAGAUAUCAGGAGGAACACCGGUGGCGAAGGCGACUUACUGGACACAUAUUGACGCUGAGGAGCGAAAGCGUGGGGAGCGAACAGG